CAAAGAGAAGCUCACCUAUCACCUUUCCACUUCUGACGUGCGGCCGCGAGUGGGUCCAUAACCUUUUCAAAACACAUGACUUUCUAAAAGCAAAACUGAACACUGAAGUUCAUACAUCCUGAAUGUCCUGAAUAGUUUAUUGAAAAAAACAAGAAAAGCAGUAAAAGGUGAAGAGCAUGUGGUAUUGAAGAGUUAAGAGAGGUAAGAUUUUUAAUUCACUUUGAAAAUAUUUACUGAGUUUCUGUUUAGUGCUGGGCACAGUGUAUA
RNAcentral lists this long non-coding RNA (267 nucleotides) under Chinchilla lanigera (long-tailed chinchilla). Its description in RNAcentral is "lncRNA (ENSCLAG00000028773.1)". The record is from RNAcentral. Lineage: Eukaryota; Metazoa; Chordata; Mammalia; Rodentia; Chinchillidae.